RNAcentral lists this non-coding RNA (148 nucleotides) under Gorilla gorilla gorilla (western lowland gorilla). The record is from Rfam by way of RNAcentral. Lineage: Eukaryota; Metazoa; Chordata; Mammalia; Primates; Hominidae.
GUUGGGCAAGGUGGCUCAUGCCUAUAAUCCCAGCUACUCAGGAGGCUGAGGCAGGAGGACUGCUGGAGCCCAGGAGUUCGAGGCUGCAGUGAGCUAUGAUCAAGCCACUGCAUUCCAGCCUGGGCAACAGUGCAAGACCCUGUCUCUA